CUUGGUCAUUUAGAGGNAGUAAAAGUCGUAACAAGGUUUCCGUAGGUGAACCUGCGGAAGGAUCAUUAUUGAAAUUAUAGGUGAGGGUUGUAGCUGGCCCCUCGGGGCAUGUGCACGCCCGAGCCCUUAAAUCCCACACACACCUGUGAACCUAUUGUAAGGGCCCGUAAAAAAGGCCUUUACGUCUUUAUCACCUACCCGAAGUCUCAUAGAAUGUAAAUGUUAUGUCCUCGCCUUAAAAAAGCGUUGAUAAAAAAAAAUUAUACAACUUUCAACAACGGAUCUCUUGGCUCUCGCAUCGAUGAAGAACGCAGCGAAAUGCGAUAAGUAAUGUGAAUUGCAGAUUUUCAGUGAAUCAUCGAAUCUUUGAACGCACCUUGCGCUCCUUGGUAUUCCGAGGAGCAUGCCUGUUUGAGUGUCAUUAAAUUCUCAAACUCUGAUUGAUUUGUUUCAAUCGGAGGUUUGGAUUUGGAGUGUGCCGGCGUCAAGUCGGCUCCUCUUGAAUGCAUCAGCGGAAUCCCAUUCAUUUCGGACGUCAGUGUGAUAAUCAUGUUGCGCUGUCUUUGCGAUCUUGAAAGCCCGCUCACAAUGGUCUUCGGACAAACCUCACAUAUCAUAUUUGACCUCAAAUCAGGUAGGACUACCCGCUGAACUUAAGCAUAUCAAUAAGCGGAGA
RNAcentral lists this ribosomal RNA (676 nucleotides) under uncultured fungus. RNAcentral's name for it is "eukaryotic LSU rRNA". The stretch from base 267 to 421 matches the Rfam family "5.8S ribosomal RNA". Lineage: Eukaryota; Fungi. The record is from RNAcentral.